This 549-nucleotide ribosomal RNA is filed under the name uncultured bacterium. Its description in RNAcentral is "bacterial SSU rRNA". It matches the Rfam family "Bacterial small subunit ribosomal RNA", at positions 355 to 896 of the family's 1533-position model. The record is from RNAcentral.
UGGGGAAUAUUGGACAAUGGGCGCAAGCCUGAUCCAGCAAUACCGCGUGUGUGAAGAAGGCCUUAGGGUUGUAAAGCACUUUCAAUNGGGAGGAAAACCUGCCGGUCAAUACCCGGUAGCUUGACAUUACCUUUAGAAGAAGCACCGGCUAACUCCGUGCCAGCAGCCGCGGUAAUACGGAGGGUGCGAGCGUUAAUCGGAAUUACUGGGCGUAAAGCGUGCGUAGGCGGUUCGUUAAGUCAGAUGUGAAAGCCCUGGGCUCAACCUGGGAACUGCAUUUGAAACUGGCGRACUAGAGUUGAGUAGAGGGGAGUGGAAUUUCAGGUGUAGCGGUGAAAUGCGUAGAUAUCUGAAGGAACACCAGUGGCGAAGGCGACUCCCUGGACUCRAACUGACGCUGAGGUACGAAAGCGUGGGUAGCAAACAGGAUUAGAUACCCUGGUAGUCCACGCCGUAAACGAUGUCAACUAGCCGUUGGUCCUAUUUACAGGAUUAGUGGCGCAGCUAACGCAUUAAGUUGACCGCCUGGGGAGUACGGCCGCAAGGUUA